UGGGGAAUAUUGCACAAUGGAGGGAACUCUGAUGCAGCGACGCCGCGUGAGUGAUGAAGGAAUUCGUUUCGUAAAACUCUGUUCUAUGGGAAGAAAAGGACUGUACCAUAGGAGAAAGCUCCGGCUAAAUACGUGCCAGCAGCCGCGGUAAUACGUAUGGCGCGAGCGUUGUCCGGAAUUAUUGGGCGUAAAGGGUGCGCAGGCGGCUUUACAAGUUGGAUGUGAAAUAUUGUGGCUCAACCACAAACGUGCAUCCAAAACUGCAAAGCUUGAGUUAAGGAGAGGUAAGUGGAAUUCCUGGUGUAGCGGUGGAAUGCGUAGAUAUCAGGAGGAAUACCGGUGGCGAAGGCGACUUACUGGACAUAAACUGACGCUCAGGCACGAAAGCGUGGGGAGCAAACAGG
Molecule: ribosomal RNA, 404 nt
Filed under: Fusobacteriota bacterium
Lineage: Bacteria; Fusobacteriati; Fusobacteriota
Description: Fusobacteria bacterium partial 16S ribosomal RNA
Rfam family: Bacterial small subunit ribosomal RNA
Source: RNAcentral